Molecule: ribosomal RNA, 411 nt
Filed under: uncultured bacterium
Lineage: Bacteria
Description: bacterial SSU rRNA
Rfam family: Bacterial small subunit ribosomal RNA
Source: RNAcentral
CAGCUUGCUGGGGGGAUUAGUGGCGAACGGGUGAGUAACACGUGAGUAACCUGCCCUUGACUCUGGGAUAAGCCUGGGAAACUGGGUCUAAUACUGGAUACGACCUUCUGGCGCAUGCCAUGUGGGUGGAAAGCUUUUGUGGUUUUGGAUGGACUCGCGGCCUAUCAGCUUGUUGGUGGGGUAAUGGCCUACCAAGGCGACGACGGGUAGCCGGCCUGAGAGGGUGGACGGCCACACUGGGACUGAGACACGGCCCAGACUCCUACGGGAGGCAGCAGUGGGGAAUAUUGCACAAUGGGCGCAAGCCUGAUGCAGCGACGCCGCGUGAGGGAUGGAGGCCUUCGGGUUGUAAACCUCUUUCAGUAGGGAAGAAGCGAAAGUGACGGUACCUGCAGAAGAAGCGCCGGCUAA